This 285-nucleotide ribosomal RNA is filed under the name uncultured bacterium. RNAcentral describes it as "partial 16S ribosomal RNA". It matches the Rfam family "Bacterial small subunit ribosomal RNA", at positions 30 to 317 of the family's 1533-position model. The record is from RNAcentral.
AUUGAACGCUGGCGGAAUGCUUUACACAUGCAAGUCGAACGGCAGCACGGGGCAACCUGGUGGCGAGUGGCGAACGGGUGAGUAAUACAUCGGAACGUGCCCAAUCGUGGGGGAUAACGUAGCGAAAGUUACGCUAAUACCGCAUACGAUCUACGGAUGAAAGCGGGGGAUCGCAAGACCUCGCGCGAAUGGAGCGGCCGAUGUCAGAUUAGCUAGUUGGUGGGGUAAAGGCCUACCAAGGCAACGAUCUGUAGUUGGUCUGAGAGGACGACCAGCCACACUGGG